This 632-nucleotide ribosomal RNA is filed under the name uncultured bacterium. RNAcentral describes it as "bacterial SSU rRNA". It matches the Rfam family "Bacterial small subunit ribosomal RNA", at positions 73 to 699 of the family's 1533-position model. The record is from RNAcentral.
AGGUAGCUUGCUACCAGGCGUCGAGCGGCGGACGGGUGAGUAAUGCUUAGGAAUCUACCGAGUAGUGGGGGAUAGCCAUUGGAAACGAUGAUUAAUACCGCAUAUAUCCUACGGGGGAAAGCAGGGGACCUUCGGGCCUUGCGCUAUUCGAUGAGCCUGAGUGAGAUUAGCUAGUUGGUGGGGUAAAGGCCUACCAAGGCGACGAUCUCUAGCUGGUCUGAGAGGAUGAUCAGCCACACUGGGACUGAGACACGGCCCAGACUCCUACGGGAGGCAGCAGUGGGGAAUAUUGCACAAUGGACGAAAGUCUGAUGCAGCCAUGCCGCGUGUGUGAAGAAGGCCUUCGGGUUGUAAAGCACUUUCAGCGAGGAGGAAAGGUUAGUCGUUAAUAUCGGCUAGCUGUGACGUUACUCGCAGAAGAAGCACCGGCUAAUUUAGUGCCAGCAGCCGCGGUAAUACUAAAGGUGCAAGCGUUAAUCGGAAUUACUGGGCGUAAAGCGCGCGUAGGUGGUUUGUUAAGUUGGAUGUGAAAGCCCAGGGCUCAACCUUGGAACUGCAUUCAAAACUGACUCACUAGAGUACGAGAGAGGUUAGUGGAAUUUCCUGUGUAGCGGUGAAAUGCGUAGAGAUGG